This 547-nucleotide ribosomal RNA is filed under the name uncultured bacterium. RNAcentral describes it as "bacterial SSU rRNA". It matches the Rfam family "Bacterial small subunit ribosomal RNA", at positions 224 to 788 of the family's 1533-position model. The record is from RNAcentral.
GAUGAGCCCGCGUUGGAUUAGCUAGUUGGUGGGGUAAAGGCCUACCAAGGCGACGAUCCAUAGCUGGUCUGAGAGGAUGAUCAGCCACAUUGGGACUGAGACACGGCCCAAACUCCUACGAGAGGCAGCAGUGGGGAAUAUUGGACAAUGGGCGCAAGCCUGAUCCAGCCAUGCCGCGUGAGUGAUGAAGGUCUUAGGAUUGUAAAGCUCUUUCACCGGGGACGAUAAUGACGGUACCCGGAGAAGAAGCCCCGGCUAACUUCGUGCCAGCAGCCGCGGUAAUACGAAGGGGGCUAGCGUUGUUCGGAAUUACUGGGCGUAAAGCGCACGUAGGCGGAUAUUUAAGUCAGGGGUGAAAUCCCGGGGCUCAACCCCGGAACUGCCUUUGAUACUGGGUAUCUUGAGUGUGGUAGAGGUGAGUGGAAUUGCGAGUGUAGGGGUGAAAUUCGUAGAUAUUCGCAGGAACACCAGUGGCGAAGGCGGCUCACUGGACCACAACUGACGCUGAGGUGCGAAAGCGUGGGGAGCAAACAGGAUUAGAUACCCU